RNAcentral lists this transfer RNA (73 nucleotides) under Rhodothermaceae bacterium. It matches the Rfam family "tRNA". Rfam says of the family: Transfer RNA (tRNA) molecules are approximately 80 nucleotides in length. Their secondary structure includes four short double-helical elements and three loops (D, anti-codon, and T loops). Lineage: Bacteria; Pseudomonadati; Rhodothermota; Rhodothermia; Rhodothermales; Rhodothermaceae. RNAcentral also lists the same sequence under 3 other names. The record is from Rfam by way of RNAcentral.
GCCAGUGUAGCUCAGUUGGUAGAGCAGCGGUUUUGUAAACCGCUGGUCGUCGGUUCGAGUCCGGCCACUGGCU